AAACAGCAGCGUGACUUCCGCUGACAGACUAUUGUGAACAUCCGGUGUCCCUGCCACCGCGCAUGCGCAGGAGGGAAUCCACUUUUCGGAAAACGCAUGCGUGGUAUUCCCAGAUGGAACGGCUUUCUUGUUGUUGUGAUACCCAGAAUGCAUUUCUGCUCAUCAAGAGUCCUACCUCCAGGCAUGUAGAACAGAAUUACUCCCUCCUUGACCUGUUUGGUUCCGGGUUCCUGAUGGGGGCUUCCUGAUGUGAUUCUCACGUAGCCCCCACCCCAUUCUUUUCCUUGAAUUGUCUUCCUCAUCAUUUUGAAUACACAAGUGCAGACCUGUGUUGUCCUGGUGAGAGCUGCACAGCCAGUGCGACGGACAGACAGACAGACACAGAAGGUCUUUUUUGACUCUCCAGAGAGAUGAGCAUCCCUCUUAUCUCUUCUUAUCGUCUGGAUCCAUGGGGCACAGCUAUUUGAAACUGGGGGAGAAGGUUUGCCCCACUGAAUGCUUUAUUAAAAGUUCUGUUUCCUAUUC
Molecule: long non-coding RNA, 525 nt
Organism: Suricata suricatta (meerkat)
Lineage: Eukaryota; Metazoa; Chordata; Mammalia; Carnivora; Herpestidae
Exons: 2
Source: RefSeq, a predicted model, not a curated record